UACGUAGGAGGCAAGCGUUGUCCGGAAUUACUGGGCGUAAAGCGCGUGUAGGUGGUGGGACAAGUCUGCUGUGAAAGCGCCUGGCUUAACCGGGCGAGGUCGGCGGAAACUGUCCGACUCGAGGACGGUAGAGGGGGGUGGAAUUCCCGGUGUAGUGGUGAAAUGCGUAGAUAUCGGGAGGAACACCAGUGGCGAAGGCGACUACCUGGCCUGUUCUUGACGCUGAGGCGCGAAAGCUAGGGGAGCAAACGGG
RNAcentral lists this ribosomal RNA (253 nucleotides) under uncultured bacterium. RNAcentral describes it as "partial 16S ribosomal RNA". It matches the Rfam family "Bacterial small subunit ribosomal RNA", at positions 524 to 776 of the family's 1533-position model. The record is from RNAcentral.